RNAcentral lists this ribosomal RNA (1723 nucleotides) under Coptotermes gestroi. RNAcentral's name for it is "bacterial LSU rRNA". The record is from RNAcentral. Lineage: Eukaryota; Metazoa; Arthropoda; Insecta; Blattodea; Rhinotermitidae.
GUAGUAUGAGCCUGCGAGUUACGAUAGCAUGCGAGGUUUAAGGCGUGGGAGCGCCGGAGCCGGAGGGAAACCGAGUCUGAAGAGGGCGAGAGAGUAUGGUAUCGUAGACCCGAAGCCAAGUGAUCUAGAUAUGAGCAGGCUGAAGCCCGGGUAAAACCGGGUGGAGGGCCGAACCCUAGUGUGUUAAAAAAUGCAGGGAUGACUUGUGUCUUGGAGCGAAAGACUAAACAAACUUGGAAAUAGCUGGCUCUCCCCGAAAUGCCUUGAGGGACAGCCUUAUCAAAAUGUGCCGGAGGUAGAGCACUGGAUGGACUAGGGGGCUUCACCGCCUACCAAACCCAAUCAAACUCCGAAUGCCGGUACACAACUGAUGGGAGUGAGACUGCGGGCGACAAGGUUCGUAGUCGAGAGGGAAACAGCCCAGACCCGUGGCUAAGGUCCCGAAUGGACGCUAAGUGUGAAAUGAUGUGCCAUGGCGCAGACAGCCAGGAGGUUGGCUUAGAAGCAGCCAUUCCUUAAAAGAGUGCGUAAUAGCUCACUGGUCGAGUCAUGACGCGCAGAUAAUGUAACGGGGCUAAGCGGUAUACCGAAGCUACGGGUUCAUACAGCGAUGUGUGGACGGUAGGGGAGCAUUCCACGGACCAAAGAAGGCAGCCUGGGAAGGGUGCUGGAGGGAGUGGAAGAGAGAAUGCAGGUAUAAGUAUACGAAAAGAGGGGUGGGAUCCCCCUCCGCCGAAAGCCUAAGGAUUCCUGGGUAAAGGUCAUCUGCCCAGGGUAAGUCGGCCCCUAAGGCGAGGACGAAGGUCGUAGUCGAUGGGAAACGGGUUAUUAUUCCCGUACCUUGCUCAGUUUUGAAGGGAUGACGCAUGAGGUAAAGCCCGGCCGGGGGACGGUAGUCCUGGUCGAAGUCGUGAGUUGGGUCGGUGGAAAAUCCCCGUCCGGAAGACGAGCGGUGAAGCGAGUGGAGCUACGGCAAAGCGAAGCGGGUAGAGCCAAGGUGCCAAGAAAUAAUCUCUAAAGGUAGGCUGAGGAAGACCGUACCGGAAACCGACACAGGUAGGCGGGAUGAGCAAUCUAAGGCGCUCGAGAGAACUCGCGUUAAGGAACUCGGCAAAAUACGCACGUAACUUCGGGAGAAGUGCGGCCACUUUUGGUUUAGCGAUAGGUUAAGGGUGGCGACACAAAGCAGUCCCAGGCGACUGUUUACCAAAAACACAGGCCUCUGCGAAUCAGUAAUGAGACGUAUAGGGGCUGACACCUGCCCGGUGCUGGAAGGUUAAGGGGAGUGGUUAAUCGCAAGAUGAAGCUAUGAACCGAAGCCCCAGUAAACGGCGGCCGUAACUAUAACGGUCCUAAGGUAGCGAAAUUCCUUGUCGGGUAAGUUCCGACCCGCACGAAAGGUGUAACGAUCUGGGAGCUGUCUCAACGCGAGACUCGGUKGAAAUUUAUGUACCGGUAAAGAAGCCGGUUACCCGUGGUUAGAACGGAAAGACCCCGUAGAACCUUCACCGUAACUUAUCAUGGGGACUUGGCCAGGCAUGUGUAGGAUAGGUGGGAGGCCGUGAGGCGUGGGCGUCAGCCUGCGCGGAGCCGCCGGUGAAAUACCACCCUUGGCUGGCUAGGUUUCUAACCGUGCCCCUGAAGCGGGGUACGGGACAGUGGUAGGCGGGCGGUUUGACUGGGGCGGUCGCCUCCUAAAGAGUAACGGAGGUGCGCGAAGGUC